CCUACGGGAGGCAGCAGUGGGGAAUAUUGCACAAUGGGGGAAACCCUGAUGCAGCCAUGCCGCGUGUGUGAAGAAGGCCUUCGGGUUGUAAAGCACUUUCAGCGAGGAGGAAAGGGUGUAAGUUAAUACCUUACAUCUGUGACGUUACUCGCAGAAGAAGCACCGGCUAACUCCGUGCCAGCAGCCGCGGUAAUACGGAGGGUGCGAGCGUUAAUCGGAAUUACUGGGCGUAAAGCGUGCGCAGGCGGUUUGUUAAGCGAGAUGUGAAAGCCCCGGGCUCAACCUGGGAACCGCAUUUCGAACUGGCAAACUAGAGUCUUGUAGAGGGGGGUAGAAUUCCAGGUGUAGCGGUGAAAUGCGUAGAGAUCUGGAGGAAUACCGGUGGCGAAGGCGGCCCCCUGGACAAAGACUGACGCUCAGGCACGAAAGCGUGGGGAGCAAACAGGAUUAGAUACCCUAGUAGUC
RNAcentral lists this ribosomal RNA (465 nucleotides) under uncultured bacterium. Its description in RNAcentral is "bacterial SSU rRNA". It matches the Rfam family "Bacterial small subunit ribosomal RNA", at positions 338 to 795 of the family's 1533-position model. The record is from RNAcentral.